GACGAACGCUGGCGGCGUGCUUAACACAUGCAAGUCGAACGGUGAAGCCCUUCGGGGUGGAUCAGUGGCGAACGGGUGAGUAACACGUGAGCAACCUGCCCCUGGCUCUGGGACAACCACUGGAAACGGUGGCUAAUACCGGAUACGACCCGCCUCGGCAUCGAGUGUGGGUGGAAAGUUUUUCGGCCGGGGAUGGGCUCGCGGCCUAUCAGCUUGUUGGUGAGGUGAAGGCUCACCAAGGCGACGACGGGUAGCCGGCCUGAGAGGGCGACCGGCCACACUGGGACUGAGACACGGCCCAGACUCCUACGGGAGGCAGCAGUGGGGAAUAUUGCACAAUGGGCGAAAGCCUGAUGCAGCGACGCCGCGUGAGGGAUGACGGCCUUCGGGUUGUAAACCUCUUUCAGCUCCGAAGAAGCGAAAGUGACGGUAGGAGCAGAAGAAGCACCGGCUAACUACGUG
RNAcentral lists this ribosomal RNA (462 nucleotides) under uncultured bacterium. RNAcentral's name for it is "partial 16S ribosomal RNA". It matches the Rfam family "Bacterial small subunit ribosomal RNA", at positions 28 to 507 of the family's 1533-position model. The record is from RNAcentral.